UGGAAUUCCACGUGUAGCGGUGAAAUGCGUAGAGAUGUGGAGGAACACCAGUGGCGAAGGCGACUCUCUGGUCUGUAACUGACGCUGAGGAGCGAAAGCGUGGGGAGCGAACAGGAUUAGAUACCCUGGUAGUCCACGCCGUAAACCAUGAGUGCUAAGUGUUAGGGGGUUUCCGCCCCUUAGUGCUGCAGCUAACGCAUUAAGCACUCCGCCUGGGGAGUACGGUCGCAAGACUGAAACUCAAAGGAAUUGACGGGGGCCCGCACAAGCGGUGGAGCAUGUGGUUUAAUUCGAAGCAACGCGAAGAACCUUACCAGGUCUUGACAUCCUCUGACAAUCCUAGAGAUAGGACGUCCCCUUCGGGGGCAGAGUGACAGGUGGUGCAUGGUUGUCGUCAGCUCGUGUCGUGAGAUGUUGGGUUAAGUCCCGCAACGAGCGCAACCCUUGAUCUUAGUUCCCAGCAUUCAGUUGGGCACUCUAAGGUGACUGCCGGUGACAAACCGGAGGAAGGUGGGGAUGACGUCAAAUCAUCAUGCCCCUUAUGACCUGGGCUACACACGUGCUACAAUGGACAGAACAAAGGGCAGCGAAACAGCGAGGUUAAGCCAAUCCCACAAAUCUGUUCUCAGUUCGGAUCGCAGUCUGCAACUCGACUGCGUGAAGCUGGAAUCGCUAGUAAUCGCGGAUCAGCAUGCCGCGGUGAAUACGUUCCC
This 713-nucleotide ribosomal RNA is filed under the name bacterium F112MS. Its description in RNAcentral is "bacterial SSU rRNA". It matches the Rfam family "Bacterial small subunit ribosomal RNA", at positions 662 to 1375 of the family's 1533-position model. The record is from RNAcentral.